RNAcentral lists this transfer RNA (72 nucleotides) under Acidimicrobiia bacterium. RNAcentral describes it as "tRNA-Arg". It matches the Rfam family "tRNA". Rfam says of the family: Transfer RNA (tRNA) molecules are approximately 80 nucleotides in length. Their secondary structure includes four short double-helical elements and three loops (D, anti-codon, and T loops). The record is from RNAcentral. RNAcentral also lists the same sequence under 3 other names. Lineage: Bacteria; Bacillati; Actinomycetota; Acidimicrobiia.
GCCCUCGUAGCUCAGGGGAUAGAGCACCGGCCUCCGGAGCCGGGUGCGUAGGUUCGAAUCCUACCGGGGGCA